Molecule: ribosomal RNA, 712 nt
Filed under: Escherichia coli
Lineage: Bacteria; Pseudomonadati; Pseudomonadota; Gammaproteobacteria; Enterobacterales; Enterobacteriaceae
Description: bacterial SSU rRNA
Rfam family: Bacterial small subunit ribosomal RNA
Source: RNAcentral
GAUGUCGACUUGGAGGUUGUGCCCUUGAGGCGUGGCUUCCGGAGCUAACGCGUUAAGUCGACCGCCUGGGGAGUACGGCCGCAAGGUUAAAACUCAAAUGAAUUGACGGGGGCCCGCACAAGCGGUGGAGCAUGUGGUUUAAUUCGAUGCAACGCGAAGAACCUUACCUGGUCUUGACAUCCACGGAAGUUUUCAGAGAUGAGAAUGUGCCUUCGGGAACCGUGAGACAGGUGCUGCAUGGCUGUCGUCAGCUCGUGUUGUGAAAUGUUGGGUUAAGUCCCGCAACGAGCGCAACCCUUAUCCUUUGUUGCCAGCGGUCCGGCCGGGAACUCAAAGGAGACUGCCAGUGAUAAACUGGAGGAAGGUGGGGAUGACGUCAAGUCAUCAUGGCCCUUACGACCAGGGCUACACACGUGCUACAAUGGCGCAUACAAAGAGAAGCGACCUCGCGAGAGCAAGCGGACCUCAUAAAGUGCGUCGUAGUCCGGAUUGGAGUCUGCAACUCGACUCCAUGAAGUCGGAAUCGCUAGUAAUCGUGGAUCAGAAUGCCACGGUGAAUACGUUCCCGGGCCUUGUACACACCGCCCGUCACACCAUGGGAGUGGGUUGCAAAAGAAGUAGGUAGCUUAACCUUCGGGAGGGCGCUUACCACUUUGUGAUUCAUGACUGGGGUGAAGUCGUAACAAGGUAACCGUAGGGGAACCUGCGGUUG